This 460-nucleotide ribosomal RNA is filed under the name uncultured bacterium. RNAcentral's name for it is "partial 16S ribosomal RNA". It matches the Rfam family "Bacterial small subunit ribosomal RNA", at positions 338 to 795 of the family's 1533-position model. The record is from RNAcentral.
CCUACGGGAGACAGCAGUGAGGAAUAUUGGUCAAUGGGCGUAAGCCUGAACCAGCCAAGUCGCGUGAGGGAUGAAGGUUCUAUGGAUCGUAAACCUCUUUUAUAAGGGAAUAAAGUGCGGGACGUGUCCCGUUUUGUAUGUACCUUAUGAAUAAGGAUCGGCUAACUCCGUGCCAGCAGCCGCGGUAAUACGGAGGAUCCGAGCGUUAUCCGGAUUUAUUGGGUUUAACGGGUGCGUAGGCGGCCUUUUAAGUCAGCGGUGAAAGUCUGUGGCUCAACCAUAGAAUUGCCGUUGAAACUGGGAGUCUUGAGGAUGUUUGAGGCAGGCGGAAUGCGUGGUGUAGCGGUGAAAUGCUUAGAUAUCACGCAGAACCCCGAUUGCGAAGGCAGCCUGCCAAGCCAUGACUGACGCUGAUGCACGAAAGCGUGGGGAUCAAACAGGAUUAGAUACCCCAGUAGCC